RNAcentral lists this ribosomal RNA (256 nucleotides) under uncultured bacterium. RNAcentral describes it as "partial 16S ribosomal RNA". It matches the Rfam family "Bacterial small subunit ribosomal RNA", at positions 524 to 776 of the family's 1533-position model. The record is from RNAcentral.
UACAGAGGGUGCAAGCGUUGCUCGGAAUCAUUGGGCGUAAAGGGCAGGUAGGUGGUCUGAUUUGUCUGGAGGUGAAAUCCUUGAGCUUAACUCAAGAAGUGCCCCGGAAACGGUCAGACUUAUGAGUCUUGGAGAGGGUGGCGGAAUUCCCGGUGUAGCGGUGAAAUGCGUAGAUAUCAGGAGGAACACCGGUGGUGUAGACGGCUUUCUGGACCGUAACUGACGCUGAGACACGAAAGCGUGGGUAGCAAACAGG